Molecule: ribosomal RNA, 425 nt
Filed under: uncultured bacterium
Lineage: Bacteria
Description: bacterial SSU rRNA
Rfam family: Bacterial small subunit ribosomal RNA
Source: RNAcentral
UCGAGGAUCUUCGGCAAUGGGCGCAAGCCUGACCGAGCGACGCCGCGUGUGGGAUGAAGGCCUUCGGGUUGUAAACCACUGUCAGUGGGGAGAAAAUUCUGGUGGGUACUCCCAUCAGUUUGAUCUAUCCGCAGAGGAAGUGUGGGCUAAGUUCGUGCCAGCAGCCGCGGUAAGACGAACCACACAAACGUUAUUCGGAAUCACUGGGCUUAAAGGGUGCGUAGGCGGUGCAGUAAGUUGGGUGUGAAAUCCCUCGGCUUAACCGAGGAACUGCGCCCAAAACUACUGUGCUUGAGGGAGAUAGAGGUGAGCGGAACUGAGGGUGGAGCGGUGAAAUGCGUUGAUAUCCUCAGGAACACCCGUGGCGAAAGCGGCUCACUGGGUCUCUUCUGACGCUGAGGCACGAAAGCUAGGGGAGCAAACGG